GGGGGUUCGGGUGGGCCGGGCUUUAAAUGGGAGGGGGCCGGAGGUUGGGCAGGGCGCUCCCUGGGGGGAAAAGGACCGGCCGCGGCCUCCCGGCGGGGGGCGCGGACAGAGAGACCCCCGGCCGGUGGGGAGGGAGGAGGCGGUCCAGGGAGGGGGGUCCUUCGGCCAUCUGUUGGGACCCUCGGCCUCGCGGUGGCCACGGCGGUCCCCAGGUCUGACCCUGCCUUAAGGCCCUGCCCCCUUCCCCUUCCUUUGUCCCUUCCUGGCCCCCUCCCCCCUCCCAUUCCCCUUCCUUCCCCCUGCUUCCCGGCCGGCCGUCCGUCCUCUGGGUCGUCCCCCUCCUCCCUCUGCCCCCUGCCCUCUCCUCUCUUUGGCCAUUCCCCUUCCUUCCCCCUGCUUCCCGGCCGGCUGUCCUUUGGGUCGUCCCCCUCCUCCCUCUGCCCCCUGCCCUCUUCCCACUUCCCUUCCUUGCCCCUGCUUCCCGGCCGGCUGUCCUUUGGGCCCCCUGCCCUCUCCCCUCUUCCAUUUCCCUCUGGCCCUCCUCUCCUCCUCUCCUCCUCUCCUCCCCUCUCCCUGCCCCAGUCCCUCCCAGGGGUUGGGGCCGGGGGAGUUUUCUUUCUCCUCUUCCCCAGCCACACUCGCACACAGGCAGACAGAAGGACGGCCCGUCCCAGAGGGACGGAGGGACGGAGGGACAGAGAGACACAGCCCCUGGCCCCCCGCCCCCGCCGGGCGCUGCCUUAUAAAGUGCGGGGCGGGCGGAUUUCCUGGGCGGGCCGGCAGCCCCCUUCUCCGGCCCUGAGCGGGCAGCGGCGGCCGGCCGGGCUCGGGGAGCGUGGUGCCCGCUGCCCGCUGCCCUGCAGGGUGAGUGGGGGGUCGGGGGAAGGGGUCGGGGAAGAGGGGAGCGGGGCGUCCCGAUCCACGUGGCAGCGGCGCGCUCGGCCGGGAAAGCCGGCCGGGGGUGGGGACAGCGGGAUGGGCCCGGGGCGGGAGGGGACCGGCCGGCCCCUGGCCGGAGAGGACUUGGGGGAGCCGGGCCGGAGACCCCUGGAGGGAGGGAAGGGGGGACAAGUCCCUCUCCGUCCCUCAGGAGCUGCAGAGAGAGGGGUUUGGGUCAUGGCUCCUUCUCCCCGCCUCUCCCUCUGCCCACUCUGUGCUUCGCCCCCCGUGGCGGGGCCGCUCACCCAACCCCCGUUCGCCGUCGGCCGGCCGGUGCCCCUCCCGGGCAGCUUCCCUCCCCUCCCCGACCCACGAGCCCCCGCCACCGUGCAGGCCGGUCCGUCGAAGGCGGACCUCCCGGUGACCCCGUGCCCCGUGCCGCGCUGGCCUUGGUCGCCCUCCUUGGGAGGGCGGGUCGGGCGCCGAAUCCGAAUUUACCUGGGGCGUCCGGUGGGCCGGCCAGGGACCCGGGUGGUCCCGGGGGGCCCUCGCCCGCCGAAGGGUGCCCGGCCGCUUGACCUCCCCUUC
Molecule: long non-coding RNA, 1467 nt
Filed under: Ornithorhynchus anatinus (platypus)
Lineage: Eukaryota; Metazoa; Chordata; Mammalia; Monotremata; Ornithorhynchidae
Description: lncRNA (ENSOANG00000044793.1)
Source: RNAcentral